UGGGGAAUAUUGGACAAUGGGCGCAAGCCUGAUCCAGCAAUGCCGCGUGUGUGAAGAAGGCCUUCGGGUUGUAAAGCACUUUUAUCAGGAGCGAAACGCUGUCGGCUAAUACCCGGCGGAACUGACGGUACCUGAGGAAUAAGCACCGGCUAACUUCGUGCCAGCAGCCGCGGUAAUACGAAGGGUGCAAGCGUUAACCGGAAUUACUGGGCGUAAAGCGUGCGUAGGCGGUUUCUUAAGUCUGCUGUGAAAUCCCCGGGCUCAACCUGGGAAUGGCAGUGGAUACUGGGAGGCUGAGUGUGUCAGAGGGGUGGUGGAAUUCCCGGUGUAGCGGUGAAAUGCGUAGAGAUCGGGAGGAACAUCAGUGGCGAAGGCGGCCACCUGGGACAACACUGACGCUGAGGCACGAAAAGCGUGGGGAGCAAACAGGAUUAGAUACCCUGGUAGUCCACGCCCUAAAACGAUGCGAACUGGAUGUUGGUCUCAACUCGGAGAUCAGUGUCGAAGCUAACGCGUUAAGUUCGCCGCCUGGGGAGUACGGUCGUAAGACUG
Molecule: ribosomal RNA, 552 nt
Filed under: uncultured bacterium
Lineage: Bacteria
Description: partial 16S ribosomal RNA
Rfam family: Bacterial small subunit ribosomal RNA
Source: RNAcentral